This 292-nucleotide ribosomal RNA is filed under the name uncultured bacterium. Its description in RNAcentral is "partial 16S ribosomal RNA". It matches the Rfam family "Bacterial small subunit ribosomal RNA", at positions 505 to 796 of the family's 1533-position model. The record is from RNAcentral.
GUGUCAGCAGCCGCGGUAAUACAGAGACUGCAAGCGUUAUUCGGAUUCACUGGGCGUAAAGGGUGCGCAGGCGGUUGGGUGUGUCAGAUGUGAAAUCCCGAGGCUCAACCUCGGAACUGCGUCUGAAACUACUCGACUAGAGUACUGGAGAGGGUAACGGAAUUCACGGUGUAGCAGUGAAAUGCGUAGAUAUCGUGAGGAACACCAGAGGCGAAGGCGGUUACCUGGACAGUUACUGACGCUCAGGCACGAAAGCAUGGGGAGCAAAAGGGAUUAGAAACCCUCGUAGUCC